UACAGAGGGUGCAAGCGUUGUUCGGAAUCAUUGGGCGUAAAGGGCGUGUAGGCGGUUUGUUAAGUCAUGUGUGAAAUCCCUCGGCUCAACCGGGAACGACGCAUGAAACUGGCAAGCUAGAGUACCAAAGAGGGGGGUGGAAUUCCCGGUGUAGCGGUGAAAUGCGUAGAGAUCCGGAGGAAUACCAGUGGCGAAGGCGGCACGCUGGGCCAUAACUGACGCUAAGACUCGAAAGCAUGGGUAGCGAACGGG
This 252-nucleotide ribosomal RNA is filed under the name uncultured bacterium. Its description in RNAcentral is "partial 16S ribosomal RNA". It matches the Rfam family "Bacterial small subunit ribosomal RNA", at positions 524 to 776 of the family's 1533-position model. The record is from RNAcentral.